CGCCAGUAUGCUUGAUGGGAGGGCGCGA
This 28-nucleotide small RNA is filed under the name Bombyx mori (domestic silkworm). Its description in RNAcentral is "ovarian small RNA-4888". The record is from RNAcentral. Lineage: Eukaryota; Metazoa; Arthropoda; Insecta; Lepidoptera; Bombycidae.